Molecule: transfer RNA, 71 nt
Filed under: Loxodonta africana (African savanna elephant)
Lineage: Eukaryota; Metazoa; Chordata; Mammalia; Proboscidea; Elephantidae
Rfam family: tRNA
About the family: Transfer RNA (tRNA) molecules are approximately 80 nucleotides in length. Their secondary structure includes four short double-helical elements and three loops (D, anti-codon, and T loops).
Source: Rfam by way of RNAcentral
GCAGUGGAGGUUCAGUGGUAGAAUUCUCACCUCCCAUGCAAGAAACCUGGGUUCGAUUCCCAGCCAAGGUA